RNAcentral lists this ribosomal RNA (232 nucleotides) under uncultured bacterium. RNAcentral's name for it is "partial 16S ribosomal RNA". It matches the Rfam family "Bacterial small subunit ribosomal RNA", at positions 99 to 334 of the family's 1533-position model. The record is from RNAcentral.
CGGACGGGUGAGUAAUGUCUGGGAAACUGCCUGAUGGAGGGGGAUAACUGCUGGAAACGGUAGCUAAUACCGCAUAACGUCGCAAGACCAAAGAGGGGGACCUUCGGGCCUCUUGCCAUCGGAUGUGCCCAGAUGGGAUUAGCUAGUAGGUGGGGUAACGGCUCACCUAGGCGACGAUCCCUAGCUGGUCUGAGGGGAUGGCCAGCCACACUGGAACUGAGACACGGUCCAG